This 75-nucleotide transfer RNA is filed under the name Candidatus Pacebacteria bacterium CG10_big_fil_rev_8_21_14_0_10_45_6. RNAcentral's name for it is "tRNA-Phe". It matches the Rfam family "tRNA". Rfam says of the family: Transfer RNA (tRNA) molecules are approximately 80 nucleotides in length. Their secondary structure includes four short double-helical elements and three loops (D, anti-codon, and T loops). Lineage: Bacteria; Bacillati; Minisyncoccota. The record is from RNAcentral.
GCCUUUGUAGCUCAAUGGUAGAGCGCACCCUCGAAACGGGCGAGACGGCGGUUCAAGUUCCGCCCAAAGGCACAA